Molecule: transfer RNA, 88 nt
Filed under: Gleimia coleocanis DSM 15436
Lineage: Bacteria; Bacillati; Actinomycetota; Actinomycetes; Actinomycetales; Actinomycetaceae
Also listed under: 1 other name
Description: Actinomyces coleocanis DSM 15436 tRNA
Rfam family: tRNA
About the family: Transfer RNA (tRNA) molecules are approximately 80 nucleotides in length. Their secondary structure includes four short double-helical elements and three loops (D, anti-codon, and T loops).
Source: Rfam by way of RNAcentral
GCGCGGGUGGCGGAAUAGGUAGACGCGCCAGCUUGAGGUGCUGGUUCCUAACUUAACGGGAGUAGGGGUUCAAGUCCCCUUUCGCGCA